GCCCUGAGAUUCAAGUGGAAGGUGGGUUGU
Molecule: non-coding RNA, 30 nt
Filed under: Homo sapiens (human)
Lineage: Eukaryota; Metazoa; Chordata; Mammalia; Primates; Hominidae
Source: RNAcentral